RNAcentral lists this unclassified non-coding RNA (285 nucleotides) under Hevea brasiliensis (rubber tree). Lineage: Eukaryota; Viridiplantae; Streptophyta; Magnoliopsida; Malpighiales; Euphorbiaceae. The record is from RNAcentral.
AGGAAAAAAAAAAAAAAAAGAAAAGGGGGGGGAAAAAGGGGAAAAAUAAUUAGAACCCACCAUCAAGGCAUACAGGGAAAGGAAAGAAAAUAAAAACCCUUCCAAUAAAACUGAAAAUAAAACAAACCCAAACCACAGAAAACAAAAUUCUCCUAUUUUCCCUUUCCCACCCUUAGAAAUUAUCCUUUUUUUAAAAAUUUUUUUAUAGAGGGAGGGAGGAUAACAAAAAGAAAAAGCAUUCAUCAAUUAGCAAAGACUUACAAGUAAGCUUCUUUGGAUAAUCUU